Long non-coding RNA from Peromyscus maniculatus bairdii (prairie deer mouse), 945 nucleotides. RefSeq lists it as uncharacterized. Lineage: Eukaryota; Metazoa; Chordata; Mammalia; Rodentia; Cricetidae. The record is from RefSeq and is a predicted model, not a curated record.
CAUGCCGCUCCGUGUGCAGAGGCCACCUCUGCAGCCAGUGCCUGGCUGCUCCCUCGCCAACGCCACCUCUGGGCCACGUGACCCACUUUAGCGCGGGGUUGAAAGGAGGCUCCGAGCCAGGGGUUUACAUUUUCAGGCUGGUGGUCCCAAUGAGAAAGCACAAGUACAAUGAGUCUGUUGCAGGUGGACUGGCAAUGAGCGUGAGGGUCCCAGAGCAGCUGAGGCCUCUGAGGGGAAAUGCAGGCACCAGGAGAGCUGAUCCCGGUUUCUGCACCAAAUGAAAUUCUGCACACUCUGUGUCCGAGGCUGAAUGCCAGAAGCCUACCUGAGGACCUGUGAUUGCCUGGCAAUCGCCAGAUCUGCUUUUCCCAGCUGCUGGACCUGCCGCCACGGCUCCCACUGCCGUGUCUCCAGCGCACAUGCGAUUGCUCCAGAAACCAGCUUAAAUCCAUCUGGACAGGUCGGAUCUACUUCAGGCUUUUCCUGUCUCACCAGCAUCCUGUCAGACACAAAAGUGACCAGGGUGCCCAGCCAGGAGGGAUAAACAGCUCCAGAGUAAAGGAUGACAAUGGACAGCCCACCAUCCCACAACACCUGUCUACCUCUGAAGACCCCCUUCCUAUUCCCCCUAAGAGCCAACCAAUGCCCACCAAGUCAGCUGGAAGCAGUUUUUCUGGGAGAAACGACGCCCCUAUUCCUAUUUACUUGGUUUUUAUAAUAAGCAAAAGUUUGGAAUGUUAGGAUUCCGUACAUGUGCAGCUUGUGGUCUUGUCUGGGGCCUUACGCCAUCAGCAGGUGACUGCGUCCCAGCCUUAAAGCCGGACAUGCACCGCCCGCCCCCCACUCUCUCUGUGCUUCUCUUCCUGUGUUUCCUCUCUCUGUCCCUGCUCUGUUCCCUCUGCCAGGCCUGGCUCCUCCCCCUGCCUUUCCCUCCAUUAAAGCUCU